This 253-nucleotide ribosomal RNA is filed under the name uncultured bacterium. RNAcentral's name for it is "partial 16S ribosomal RNA". It matches the Rfam family "Bacterial small subunit ribosomal RNA", at positions 524 to 776 of the family's 1533-position model. The record is from RNAcentral.
UACGUAGGGAGCAAGCGUUGUCCGGAAUCAUUGGGCGUAAAGCGCGCGUAGGUGGCCUCAUAAGUCCGCUGUGAAAGUCAAAGGCUCAACCUUUGAAAGCCGGUGGAUACUGUGAGGCUAGAGUACGGAAGAGGCGAGUGGAAUUCCUGGUGCAGCGGUGGAAUGCGCAGAUAUCAGGAGGAACACCAAUAGCGAAGGCAGCUCGCUGGGACGUUACUGACACUGAGGCGCGAAAGCGUGGGGAGCGAACAGG